GAGCUGCCUUGAGGCCGCGGGACGAGGCGGUGGGAUGAGGGCCGCGGUCCGGCUGUGCCUGGGGUUGGGGACCUGAGGGAAGGUGGUCCCGCUCUCCACCCAGUCCUCCAGCCCUUUCCCCGCGCGGCCCAACGUCGGGGACGAGCCCGGACGUCGCACGGGAGUCGUGCAACUUGGCGGCGUCCACGGUGUGGACCAUCAGCAGCCCGGCCGACUUCUGCUGGGACGUGUCCACGAUGUCGAUGAGCAUGUUCUUCUUGUCGUCGCCUCUCCGGUCCCUGCCCAGACGACAGAUGUGAUGCCAUAAAUUGCCAACUUCUGGACAGAGGGAAGAGUGUACUUUGGGAGGGGAGCUGGUAGCUUUGUCACCUGCCUGUCACCAGUCACCCAGCCUGUGAACUGACUUCAACAAGAGACCCCCUGCCUC
Molecule: non-coding RNA, 427 nt
Organism: Microcebus murinus (gray mouse lemur)
Lineage: Eukaryota; Metazoa; Chordata; Mammalia; Primates; Cheirogaleidae
Source: RefSeq, a predicted model, not a curated record